This is a long non-coding RNA of Lytechinus variegatus (green sea urchin), 1024 nucleotides long. RefSeq lists it as uncharacterized. The record is from RefSeq and is a predicted model, not a curated record. The transcript has 2 exons. NCBI's taxonomy places the organism in Eukaryota, Metazoa, Echinodermata, Echinoidea, Temnopleuroida, Toxopneustidae.
UCUUUUUAUUUGUGAAAAAAAUAGGCCCAUCCCAUCCCAUGGCCCCACGCAAGCCCAAACAAAUACCACAACAAUAAAGUCAAAACACGUGAACCGAUAUCUGGCAUUAUAGGGGCUCUCACAACAUUACUGCGCUGCUCAAUAAGUGCAUCUUGUCAUUCGACAUGUUCGAAGAUAUCAUUAAAGCACCAUGUUUUUUGAGGAUAUGGAAGAAAUCUAAGUGAGUGCAUGUGAUUCUUGAGAUUGUUUAAACUUUGCUGGAACUGAAACCUUCAAGCAGUUCCCUGAACGAAUCAGGAAUUAAUUUUCAAAUGUACUCAAACUUAGGAUGGUAGACUCCCAGAUGAAUCAUUUUAAUUAACUACUGGACAGUUGCUGGCUCGUUUUUACUUGCACUGGAAUUAUCCGGAUAAAUUAAGAGAAGUGAGCCAACAUGAAUUUGCCACCGAGCCCGAAUAGUCCGAAAACCACACACAAAUUCCUUCAAACUCUCAAAAAUUCGCCUUCACUAUUACGGAAACGAUUUAUGCAUUCCGACUCUGACUUAUACGGCGAAGGAGCAGCUUCAAAGGAGCGGUCAUUCCAUGUGCGUUACGGAGGACGCGUUCCGGUGCGGUCACUUCGGGUGUGUGACGCGGUUACCGCGGUCGACAAACUAGCGCCCUUGACCAACGCCAAACAACUCCAUCACCAACCAUUCCACGCGUCGUGUACGUUGCGCGUGGACAAAUGCACGAUUACGUUUGAGGACCAGUCCCGCGACGUGCUCGAAUCAUUACCGCUGUUUUGUAUCGCAUAUUGUGCAACAGAUCUCAGGCAUCCACGCGCUGUGGCGCUUACGUCAAAGACAAACGAUUCGAUUCAUUGUUACGUAUUUGAAGUGACGACGCGCGAGAAGGCGUCGGAGAUCGUUAGCACUGUGAGGAGUGCUUUCGAAGCUGCCUGGGAGGAUUGGAAAAGAAGUAAUCCAGACGGGGGAGAUCCGAGAGAAAACCAGAUAAAACUUGUUCCUCCAAGUCAUGUG